Non-coding RNA from Pelobates cultripes (western spadefoot toad), 413 nucleotides. The record is from the annotation of a GenBank genome assembly. NCBI's taxonomy places the organism in Eukaryota, Metazoa, Chordata, Amphibia, Anura, Pelobatidae.
AAACACUCUACGGACUGACUGACCACAAUCUCUAUGGAAUUACAAGAUAGGCAAAAGAAAAUAUAUUAUAUCUUAAUCACAACAUGUUUCUGAACUUUGUAGAGUAGACAGUGAUUUUCAAAUUUAGUGGUUAGUAAUUUAGUGGUACAAGUCAAAAGUGACUUGUAAUAACGUGUGUGUGUUUGUGUGUGUGUGUGUUUGUGUUUGUGUAAGCACAAAUACAAUAUUAACUACCAGUAAAAAAAAUAAAUCCCAUAAAUGGUAUCAGCGAUAAUACCAAUAAUUAAUAUUGUUGCUAAACCAGCACUUCCGCAACUUUGCUUGUAAAAAAAUGAACCUAUUAAACCAAAGUGCAUAAAAUAGCAAAAUAGAAGAAAUUUAUUAAACAUAAAAGGACACAGUAACUUGUACAA